Molecule: long non-coding RNA, 2809 nt
Filed under: Homo sapiens (human)
Lineage: Eukaryota; Metazoa; Chordata; Mammalia; Primates; Hominidae
Description: HSALNT0327649
Source: RNAcentral
UCUUUACAAGCGACUCGUGGGCGUCAAUACUGGGCUGAGUUUGUGGCGCGCUUAGUGAUGGGAUGGCCCUGUGCAGGACGCCGACACGAAAAGAUGAAGAGUUCAAUCCGUGCUGUCUGAACUCACAGUGUAGCAGGCGAGAUAGACGGGAAGAUCGGUAGGGUGGGAGAUGCCGGAAAGGCUUCCCGUGAGACUGGAUAAGAAAUCAAAAAUCUGGUGAAAUUGCCGGCAAGAGGGAGUUAAGGACAUUCCAGGCAGAGGCAAGUUGGUCCUUGCUGGCUGAUCCAGCUUCCCCGUCAGCAUAUGGUGAGCAGUUCGGUGAGAGGACCACACUUCCAAUACUGGCAGAUGAAGCCAGAUACUCCUCUAUGAAGUUAAAUGACUGGUUCAGUGUUAACACUGCUAGUGAGCGACAGAGAUGGAAUUUGAACGCACACCUGUCUGACUCCACCUCGUGUUCCUUCCACAUGGCCAGCAAGCUCUGCUGUCCCACCUCGCACUUCUGGGAGGUGGCUACUCCCUCUUUCCACCCCCUUUUCUGGAUCUUGACAAGGGAUUCUACCCUGCCCCAGCUGUCAAAGCCUGCAGCAGCUGCCAAAAAACCUCAACACAGGCAUACUUUGGACCUACAUCAUGUGUUGAUGUCACAGAUGCUGUACCAGGCAUUUGACUCCUUGAUCUAAAGCCAGGAUUCCUAGCCAACAUGGCGAAACCCUGUCUCUACUAAAAAUAACAAAAAUUAGCUGGGCAUGGUGAUAGGCACCUGUAAUCCCAGCUACUUGGGAGGCUGAGGCAGGAGAAUUACUUGAACCCAGGAAGCGAAGGCUGCAGUGAGCAGAGAUUGUGCCUCUGCACUACAGCCUGGGCUAUGGAGUAAGACUCUGUCUCAAAAAAAAAAAAAAAAAAAAAAUAGUGAGGGGGAUGCAUGCCCACACAAAGGAAUCCUGAUAGAGGAACAAUGGCUUGGUCCGUUUCCCCUCCUGUGUAGCACUGUGAUAAAGGAAAGCCUUUCAGUCCAGAUUCCUAAGAUGAGGACACAGCAUCCUGGGCCACUGUCACUAAUACAAAUUUGCCUCUGGAGGGACUCUACGGAAGAUAAUUCCCCUGAAAUUUGGAGAGUUGAAUUAAGCUAGGACUGAUUCUGGCUGGAAUUUGUGGUGGCUACGUACCCUAGAGGGCCUCAAGGAAACCCACGGUUCAAGACAGCCCUGACAGAUUCUGGAGUCUAGAACAGAAAUGGAUUUGAACAUGGGCAAGGCCAACCACCCAGUUCACGGCCUGUGUACAGCAAAGAUUACGUUACAGCCUGAGAGCUAAGCCUGGAAGCUCUUUCAUCCAUCCGUUUGUCCAUCUAUCCAUCCAUCUGCUCAUCCAUCCCUCCAUCUGCUCAACAAACGUUAGAGAAUCAAUCCUUGUGUCAGAUACUGGGGCUGCCCUCAAGGAGCUUUUAUAGAGUUCAGGGUACAGCCAGGUGGGGGAGACAGAUCACUAUAAAAACCUACCACUAUAAUCCAAAGGACAAGAGCAAAAAUAGUAAAGAGGAGAGAAGACCCAAAUUUGCCUGGUGGGUCAGAGAGGGCUUUCUAGAAGAGGUAAAAAAUCUUCGGGGCUAUCACUUCACCUUGCCUGGUGGAUAAAGGGAGGACUUUCCAGAUACAGUGGACAGAAUGUGCAGAGGCAGGAGCCAUGAGUGGCAGAGGCAGGGGAGGGACUGCAGAGACAGGUUGGAGCCAAAGCACGUGGCACUGGAGCCAUAGCCAAAGGAACAAACUGUGAGACCUGGGACUUGAAUUUGGAGGUGGUGAAAAGUGACAAGGUCUUCACAGAAGAGUGAUUUUUUCAACUUAGGGAAGGCUGACCCCAGACCAAUGCUGCCAAAGUGUGGUCUGUGGGCUGUUAGCAGUUCGUGACGAUGUAAGUACAGGAAUUGAGAUUAAGCAUUUAGAACACCUACAGCACUUUGAUAGUCAUUUUACUUUUUAAAUUUUGAGCUGGCAUUUUAUAUGCCUGGUUUUUUUUUGUUUUUGUUUUUUUAUUUUUUUUGAGACAGUCUCGCUCUGUCGCCCAGGCUGGAGUGCAGUGGCGCGAUCUCUGCUCACUGCAAGCUCCGCCUCCCGGGUUCACGCCAUUCUCCUGCCUCAUCCUCCCAAGUAGCUGGGACUGCAGGCGCCUGCCGCCUCGCCCAGCUAAUUUUUUGUAUUUUUAAUAGAGACGGGGUUUCACCAUGUUAGCCAGGAUGGUCUCAAUCUCCUGAUCUCGUGAUCUGCCCGCCUUGGCCUCCCAAAAUGCUGGGAUUACAGGUGUGAGCCACCACGCCCAGCCUUAUUCUCUUUUUCUAAUAGUUGCACUUUAUCAUAUUUUACAAAUGUGUGAGUCUGCUAUGGAUUAGAAAUUAAUAAGAGAUUUUGCCACAGAUAGUUUGAGAAGCCCAGCACUGCCACUCAACAAAUGCUGGUGCAUUCAGAUGGUGAAAUAUUCUGCAGCUAUUAAAGGAGUUAAAACUGCCUCCACUUACCUGGAGGCCCAUCUGUGACACCUUUUUAGGUUAAAAGGAAAAGAAAAACUUGCUUAGGACUGAAUAUGAGCGGUUGCAAUUUGUAACAAUGAUGUAUAUAUACAUAUACAUUUUCAUGUAUUUGUAUGAACAUAAAAGUAUUGAAGGAUAUUCAUCAAACUGCUAAAAGGGUUGCUUCAGAGUAACGGACUCGGAGAAGGCAGAUUAAUUUUCUCUUAAUGGAACUCUGUAUUGUAUCACUUGUAAAAAUAAGCAUGUGUUAUCUUUAUGAUAAAAAAGUAAAAACCUAAAAAA